UUUUAAAUUUUUUGUUUGUAAGCUUGUUACAGGUCAUUGAUUUUUUCAAAAAACGAACUCUCUGCUGCAAUUUUCUGUUUUUUUCUUGUAAACUACGUAUUUCAUCUUUUUUUAUUUUGCAUGAACCACACUUUACUCUCUGCAUUGUGUCUGAAGCAAUAUUUAAAUCACUUGCAACGUUUAAGUGAAUAAUUGUAUUAGAACUAUUUCUUUUUCUUUCAUAUUUAAAUGGUUGCUGCAAAAAAUUAACAAUAGCAGCCCAUGACUGGAAAAAAUUUUGUAAAUGUCACCAUUUAACAAAGGCUUCGAUUGGCAUUUAUAUGAAUUAAUUAAAACGCAAAUAUCUUUUGCAGUCUUGUGGUCCAUCUAAAGUAAAGAAAAAUA
This is a non-coding RNA of Hydra vulgaris (swiftwater hydra), 384 nucleotides long. NCBI's taxonomy places the organism in Eukaryota, Metazoa, Cnidaria, Hydrozoa, Anthoathecata, Hydridae. The record is from RefSeq and is a predicted model, not a curated record.